Molecule: signal recognition particle RNA, 299 nt
Filed under: Saimiri boliviensis boliviensis (Bolivian squirrel monkey)
Lineage: Eukaryota; Metazoa; Chordata; Mammalia; Primates; Cebidae
Description: Metazoan signal recognition particle RNA (ENSSBOG00000005695.1)
Rfam family: Metazoan signal recognition particle RNA
About the family: The signal recognition particle (SRP) is a universally conserved ribonucleoprotein.
Source: RNAcentral
GCCAGGCACAGUGGUGCGUGCCUGCAGUCCCAGCUACUCGGGAGGCUGAGGUGAGAGGAUCCCUUGAGCCCAGGAGUUCCGGGCUGUAGUACGCUAUGCCAAUCAGGUGUCCGCACUAAGUUCGGCAUCAAUAUACUGACCUCCUGGGAGCAGGGGACCACCAGGUUGCCUAAGGAGGGGUGAACCGGCCCAGGUCGGAAACGGAGCAGGUCAAAACUCCAGUGCUGAUCAGUAGUGGGAUCGUGCCUGUGAAUAGCCACUGCACUCCAGCCUGGGUAACAUAGCGAGGCCCUGUCUCU